UACAGAGGUCUCAAGCGUUGUUCGGAUUCAUUGGGCGUAAAGGGUGCGUAGGUGGCGAGGCAAGUCAGAUGUGAAAUCCCGGGGCUCAACCCCGGAACUGCAUUUGAAACUGCCUUGCUCGAGUACUGGAGAGGAGACUGGAAUUUACGGUGUAGCAGUGAAAUGCGUAGAUAUCGUAAGGAAGACCAGUGGCGAAGGCGAGUCUCUGGACAGUUACUGACGCUGAGACGCGAAAGCGUGGGGAGCAAACAGG
Molecule: ribosomal RNA, 253 nt
Filed under: uncultured bacterium
Lineage: Bacteria
Description: partial 16S ribosomal RNA
Rfam family: Bacterial small subunit ribosomal RNA
Source: RNAcentral